ACAAUUAGCUGUUGGGACACUAGAUGUCUUAGUAGCGAAGCUAACGCGUGAAAUUGUCCGCCUGGGGAGUACGGUCGCAAGAUUAAAACUCAAAGGAAUUGACGGGGACCCGCACAAGCGGUGGAUGAUGUGGAUUAAUUCGAUGCAACGCGAAGAACCUUACCUGGUCUUGACAUGUACGGAAUCUCUUAGAGAUAGGAGAGUGCCUUCGGGAACCGUAACACAGGUGCUGCAUGGCUGUCGUCAGCUCGUGUCGUGAGAUGUUGGGUUAAGUCCCGCAACGAGCGCAACCCUUGUCAUUAGUUGCCAUCAUUAAGUUGGGCACUCUAAUGAGACUGCCGGUGACAAACCGGAGGAAGGUGGGGAUGACGUCAAGUCCUCAUGGCCCUUAUGACCAGGGCUUCACACGUCAUACAAUGGUCGGUACAGAGGGUAGCGAAGCCGCGAGGUGAAGCCAAUCUCAGAAAGCCGGUCGUAGUCCGGAUUGCACUCUGCAACUCGAGUGCAUGAAGUCGGAAUCGCUAGUAAUCGCAGGUCAGCAUACUGCGGUGAAUACGUUCCCGGGUCU
This 568-nucleotide ribosomal RNA is filed under the name uncultured Neisseriaceae bacterium. Its description in RNAcentral is "bacterial SSU rRNA". It matches the Rfam family "Bacterial small subunit ribosomal RNA", at positions 812 to 1381 of the family's 1533-position model. The record is from RNAcentral. Lineage: Bacteria; Pseudomonadati; Pseudomonadota; Betaproteobacteria; Neisseriales; Neisseriaceae.